RNAcentral lists this ribosomal RNA (434 nucleotides) under uncultured Lachnospiraceae bacterium. RNAcentral's name for it is "partial 16S ribosomal RNA". It matches the Rfam family "Bacterial small subunit ribosomal RNA", at positions 341 to 792 of the family's 1533-position model. The record is from RNAcentral. Lineage: Bacteria; Bacillati; Bacillota; Clostridia; Lachnospirales; Lachnospiraceae.
ACGGAAGGCAGCAGUGGGGAAUAUUGCACAAUGGGGGAAACCCUGAUGCAGCGACGCCGCGUGAGCGAAGAAGUAUUUCGGUAUGUAAAGCUCUAUCAGCAGGGAAGAAAAUGACGGUACCUGACUAAGAAGCCCCGGCUAACUACGUGCCAGCAGCCGCGGUAAUACGUAGGGGGCAAGCGUUAUCCGGAUUUACUGGGUGUAAAGGGAGCGUAGGCGGCAUGAUAAGUCAACAGUGAAAGCCCGGGGCUCAACUCCGGGACUGCUGUUGAAACUGUCAGGCUUGAUUUCAGGAGAGGAAAGCGGAAUUCCUAGUGUAGCGGUGAAAUGCGUAGAUAUUAGGAGGAACACCAGUGGCGAAGGCGGCUUUCUGGACUGACAAUGACGCUGAGGCUCGAAAGCGUGGGGAGCAAACAGGAUUAGAUACCCUGGUA